Molecule: ribosomal RNA, 253 nt
Filed under: uncultured bacterium
Lineage: Bacteria
Description: partial 16S ribosomal RNA
Rfam family: Bacterial small subunit ribosomal RNA
Source: RNAcentral
UACAGAGGUCUCAAGCGUUGUUCGGAUUCAUUGGGCGUAAAGGGUGCGUAUGUGGCUUUUUAAGCUGAAGGUGAAAUCUCGGGGCUCAACUCCGAAACUGCCUUCAAUACUGGCGAGCUCGAGGACUGUAGAGGAGAAUGGAAUUCACGGUGUAGCAGUGAAAUGCGUAGAUAUCGUGAGGAAGACCAGUGGCGAAAGCGAUUCUCUGGGCAGUUCCUGACACUGAGGCACGAAGGCCAGGGGAGCAAAUAGG